Molecule: ribosomal RNA, 441 nt
Filed under: uncultured bacterium
Lineage: Bacteria
Description: partial 16S ribosomal RNA
Rfam family: Bacterial small subunit ribosomal RNA
Source: RNAcentral
CCUACGGGUGGCAGCAGUGGGGAAUAUUGCACAAUGGGGGAAACCCUGAUGCAGCAACGCCGCGUGAGUGAGGAAGUAUUUCGGUAUGUAAAGCUCUAUCAGCCGGGAAUAGAAAAGAAGGUACCUGAAAAAGAAGCCCCGGCUAACUACGUGCCAGCAGCCGCGGUAAUACGUAGGGGCCAAGCGUUAUCCGGAUUUAUUGGGGUUAAAGGGCGUGUAGGCGGGAGCGAAAGGCAGAUGUGAAAACUCAGGGCGCAACCCUCAGCCUGCAGUUGAAACUGGGUUGCUGGAGUGCUGGAGAGGUAAUCGGAAUGCCGGGUGUAGCGGUGAAAUGCGUAGAUAUACGGAGGAACACCAGUGGCGAAGGCGGAUUGCUGGACAGUAACUGACGCUGAGGCGCGAAAGCGUGGGGAUCAAACAGGAUUAGAUACCCGAGUAGUC